Molecule: ribosomal RNA, 446 nt
Filed under: uncultured bacterium
Lineage: Bacteria
Description: bacterial SSU rRNA
Rfam family: Bacterial small subunit ribosomal RNA
Source: RNAcentral
AUUGAACGCUGGCGGUAUGCUUAAGACAUGCAAGUCGAACGGUAACAGACCGUUCGGGUGCUGACGAGUGGCGGACGGGUGAGUAACACGUGGGAAUCUACCUUAUAGAGGGGGAUAAGCCGGGGAAACCCGGACUAAUACCGCAUACGCCCUACGAGGGAAAGGCGCAAGUCGCUAUAAGAUGAGCCCGCGUCUGAUUAGCUAGUUGGUGAGGUAAAGGCUCACCAAGGCGACGAUCAGUAGCUGGUCUGAGAGGAUGGCCAGCCACAUUGGGACUGAGACACGGCCCAGACUCCUACGGGAGGCAGCAGUCGGGAAUAUUGGACAAUGGGGGCAACCCUGAUCCAGCAAUACCGCGUGUGUGAAGAAGGCCUGCGGGUUGUAAAGCACUUUCAGUUGGGAAGAUAAUGACGUUACCAACAGAAGAAGCACCGGCUAACUCUGUG